GGUAGCAUCCUUUCUCGACUUCGAUCCCUCAUUUGCUGCCACGGGCCUGGACGGCCUGCGAUCAAUGAGGGUAUCGAAAGUCAUUCCUAUCGAGGGACUUUACCGGGAGCAACCGGGGGCCGAGGCCCCCCAAUGUCCGCUUAAUUUUCCACAUCCGAGAGCACGAGCAGUCACCCUGUGCACCGAUACAGCCACGACAACAGUCAGAGGACAUGUCCGGGACACGGGGUCUGCUUUCGAGGUCCACUUUGCAGCCGCAGAGCCACAAGGGGGAAAGGGGCGGGGGCAAUCUCACGAAACUUUCCGUACGACGGGAAGGCAACACAGGAACCAG
This 334-nucleotide unclassified non-coding RNA is filed under the name Ficus sumatrana. RNAcentral describes it as "partial contains external transcribed spacer and 18S ribosomal RNA". The record is from RNAcentral. Lineage: Eukaryota; Viridiplantae; Streptophyta; Magnoliopsida; Rosales; Moraceae.